Molecule: non-coding RNA, 73 nt
Organism: Stegodyphus mimosarum
Lineage: Eukaryota; Metazoa; Arthropoda; Arachnida; Araneae; Eresidae
Source: Rfam
GCCUUCGUGGUGUAGUGGUCAGCACGCUCGACGCGUAACCAAGAUGUUUAUGGUUCGAUUCCCGGCGAAGGCG